AUUGAACGCUGGCGGCAUGCUUUACACAUGCAAGUCGGACGGCAGCACAGAGAAGCUUGCUUCUUGGGUGGCGAGUGGCGAACGGGUGAGUAACAUAUCGGAACGUACCGAGUAAUGGGGGAUAACUAAUCGAAAGAUUAGCUAAUACCGCAUAUUCUCUGAGGAGGAAAGCAGGGGACCUUCGGGCCUUGCGUUAUUCGAGCGGCCGAUAUCUGAUUAGCUAGUUGGUGGGGUAAAGGCCUACCAAGGCGACGAUCAGUAGCGGGUCUGAGAGGAUGAUCCGCCACACUGGGACUGAGACACGGCCCAGACUCCUACGGGAGGCAGCAGUGGGGAAUUUUGGACAAUGGGCGCAAGCCUGAUCCAGCCAUGCCGCGUGUCUGAAGAAGGCCUUCGGGUUGUAAAGGACUUUUGUCAGGGAAGAAAAGGCUGUUGCUAAUAUCGACAGCUGAUGACGGUACCUGAAGAAUAAGCACCGGCUAACUACGUGCCAGCAGCCGCGGUAAUACGUAGGGUGCGAGCGUUAAUCGGAAUUACUGGGCGUAAAGCGAGCGCAGACGGUUACUUAAGCAGGAUGUGAAAUCCCCGGGCUCAACCUGGGAACUGCGUUCUGAACUGGGUGACUAGAGUGUGUCAAAGGGAGGUAGAAUUCCACGUGUAGCAGUGAAAUGCGUAGAGAUGUGGAGGAAUACCGAUGGCGAAGGCAGCCUCCUGGGAUAACACUGACGUUCAUGCUCGAAAGCGUGGGUAGCAAACAGG
RNAcentral lists this ribosomal RNA (759 nucleotides) under Neisseria subflava. RNAcentral describes it as "bacterial SSU rRNA". It matches the Rfam family "Bacterial small subunit ribosomal RNA", at positions 28 to 776 of the family's 1533-position model. Lineage: Bacteria; Pseudomonadati; Pseudomonadota; Betaproteobacteria; Neisseriales; Neisseriaceae. The record is from RNAcentral.